CGGAAUCUGCCUAUCUGUGGGGGAUAACGUAGGGAAACUUACGCUAAUACCGCAUACGACCUACGGGUGAAAGCGGAGGACCUUCGGGCUUCGCGCAGAUAGAUGAGCCGAUGUCGGAUUAGCUAGUUGGCGGGGUAAAGGCCCACCAAGGCGACGAUCCGUAGCUGGUCUGAGAGGAUGAUCAGCCACACUGGAACUGAGACACGGUCCAGACUCCUACGGGAGGCAGCAGUGGGGAAUAUUGGACAAUGGGCGCAAGCCUGAUCCAGCCAUGCCGCGUGGGUGAAGAAGGCCUUCGGGUUGUAAAGCCCUUUUGUUGGGAAAGAAAAGCAGCCGGUUAAUACCCGGUUGUUCUGACGGUACCCAAAGAAUAAGCACCGGCUAACUUCGUGCCAGCAGCCGCGGUAAUACGAAGGGUGCAAGCGUUACUCGGAAUUACUGGGCGUAAAGCGUGCGUAGGUGGUUUGUUAAGUCUGAUGUGAAAGCCCUGGGCUCAACCUGGGAAUUGCAUUGGAUACUGGCAGGCUAGAGUGCGGUAGAGGGUAGUGGAAUUCCCGGU
This 559-nucleotide ribosomal RNA is filed under the name uncultured bacterium. Its description in RNAcentral is "bacterial SSU rRNA". It matches the Rfam family "Bacterial small subunit ribosomal RNA", at positions 119 to 674 of the family's 1533-position model. The record is from RNAcentral.